Molecule: long non-coding RNA, 4394 nt
Organism: Dermochelys coriacea (leatherback sea turtle)
Lineage: Eukaryota; Metazoa; Chordata; Testudines; Dermochelyidae
Exons: 2
Source: RefSeq, a predicted model, not a curated record
GACCAAGGGAGCAAUCUAUAGAAGAGUACACAAAACAUGCCUGGUGUUAUAACAAGUGAAAAGAGAUGGUGGAAAGCGAUCUCUGAGACAGGUAGGAAUGGAAGAAGAGUGAAUACGAGGACAUGGCAACCGAGGGACUGCUGGAGGAUAGCAAUGUUGAGAACCAACUGAUACACCCAGAGUCAUGGAAAGACUGCGAUAUUGUUAUGCUAAAAGCAAGUAAAAGCUUUACCAGUUGUGAAAAAGCUACUACAUUUAUGUGUUUAAAAAAUGAUCUCACACACAGCUGCAACACAGGGUGACCAGCAAGAUUAGAGAUAAUGAGCCCCACACAGUAGCUAGUGCCUGCAGAAAUUUUAGUCUAAGCACACAUCACUGCCAGACUGAACUAGUAGAAUUUCACUUCACCAUCCCAGUCCCUCACCAACCUUUACCAAAUUCUACAUUUUAUGAAAAAACAAACAAACAAAAAAAACGGUUUACUAUUUUCCUGAAGUUGAGACCUCAACUCCAUCUUAAAGUGGCUUUUCAACAAUUUCCAUUUCAUAACCUUAGUGUAUGGAAAGUUAUGAGCAGAAUCACUAUGCUAUGGAACAGACACAGGCAGCUAAUGUGACUUACAUCAACCCCCGCCCCCUUCAUCUUAAGUCAGCUCACAACAACUUUCAAUAGGACUUUUCCUCCUUAACUCACUUAGGCUCUUUUGAAAAUACCAUUAAUUGUGUUUAAAAUGCCAAUAGCACCCACUGGCCGAGCGACACUAAGCUUCCCAAUGCUACCACCACUGGUGGCCUUGUGUACACGGAGGGCUGGUCUACACUAAUGCUGUAAGUCAAUUUGAGUUACGCAAGUUAGGCAACUGAAGUCGACACAACUUGGAUUGACUUACAGCGGUGUCUACACCGCGCUGCGUUGAUGGGAAAAUCUCCUGUCGACACAGCUUCCGCCUCUCAGGAGGGUGGAGUACAGACAUCAACAGGAGACCACUCUCCCAUCGACUUAGCAUCUUCACCAGACCCACUAAAAUUGACACCGCUGCAUCAAUUGCAGUAGUGCCGAUUUAGCCGGUAGUGUAGACAUGACCUGAGCCUUUGUCCUGCCUUAAGCAACUAGUCGUCCGACACCAAUAUAGCUCCAUCAGUGCUUAGCUGUAGUGUAGACAGGAAAACUGCUAUAAAUUGCAGUUUGCACUAGUGCGGCUUACACCUACCCAGGCUUGAAAACAUAAACCACACUCAUGCAAAACAAGGCUUGAUAGGGCAAACCUGAUGUUAUGCUGGAGAGUUGAACUGCUAACUGAAAACCAGAACACAUCCCCAGUGUAGCUAUGAUCUUAGCAACAGUGAGAAAUUACAACAUCUAAAUCCAGACACAUCCUUCAGGUAAUCUGAGCAAAGGCAAAGCUUCAUUCAACAUCUUUGCAGUUUCUAAUGAGUAUCAGAAAUCUGUUUCUAUCACAUAGAUCCUAAUCCUAUUGUAAUGCAGGCAGGAUCGAACCGACUGGCUGUUAGCUAAGGCUGUAGAGAAGACUCAUUUUAGGUCACUAAGCGGUCUCUGUGCCACUAGAUGGGACAGAACACCAUACCCAGGAGGUGUGUGGGUAAUAUUAUCACGCUCUUAUUCAGUUUGGAUAGUAUCUUGUAGUUUCCUGGCAGUGCACUGUUACAAGGCUGACAAAGUGCUACCCCUUGCUAGAAAGACCCAUGCCCCAGGAAAUCAUGGAUUUUUUGGGGGGUGGGGUGCAAAAAGAAGUACGAGUUUCAUCUGCUCUUGAAAGCAGUUAGUGUCCAGAUCACAGUAGAGGGGUAGAUUUCAACCACAUUUUUACAUCGCUAUUGAGAGUCAGGAUGCUAUAGUCUUUGUACAGUAUUCCUUUUAUUCAGAAAAAAAAGACUUAAGUACAACACAGAAAUUCCAGUUUUUUCGUUUCAUAAAUAUGCAGAUUGCCAAGUAAAAUUCUGUACAACUUGUAUAAAUACAAAUUUAUGUUUUCAGUGAUAGUGACAAAACAGCAUUUGGUUAUGAACACCUUCUCACCGAAGAGAAUUAUUUCCUGAAUGUAAUAAGCUUGCUUUAAAUGCUACCAAAAACUUAUUUUCAAGCUACUGAAAUAGAAAAAUAAAGACAUUUCCUUUAGGUAUGGAAUCAGAAGAAUUUGAUCACAAGUAUAACCAUUUUACUGCUUACUUAUCAGAAAGCGUUCAUAAGGAAACAGAGGUAAUUUAUUUUGGCUCUCAAUAUGGGCUUAAAAAAUGUGAUAGGUCUUCUGAAUCCACACUGAGUCUUGCACACGUCCAUACACUUCACCCUGGGAUGCUACACUGAGGACACACAAAAUAUAAGACUUGGGGUAAGAGUAGUUUGGGGCUGUUUGUUGUUGUUGUUUUUGGAGUUUCCUGGACAUGAGAGCAAAGGAACACGGAUUAUUCUGGAGAUUUGAUUUUAAAAUGGAGGAUACAUUUGAAUUAAACAAAAGCCUAUAGCAGUUCAAGGAGUAUCUUUGGCAUCAUUAAAUCUGUAUUUUAAAAGGGAUAAAACAUACUUCAAAAUAAAAACCUCCAAAUAGGAAUCUCAACAUGCUCUCGCUCGCAACAGCAAAAUCCACAACCCUGAAUACAACUGUAGUGAGAGGAAUCUGGGAAUCACGAGAAAAGUUUCGUGCAAUCAUAUGACGCUUGCUUCAAUUUUUCCAUUUUCUUCCAAUAUCACAUUCACUGCCUGAUGAACAAGUUAGUAAUCAGCACUACCAGAAUGACACGCAUCUUUCCUGAAAAACCAAAAUAAAGGAAGUUAUAACCAAAGUAAAAAUGCAUAAUAUCUUGACUUCACUCCCGAUGUUUAGGAUAAUGAGAUUUUUCAUUUUAUAUUCUGUCUGAAAGUUUUGUUUUGUUAAUUUUAGAGCUACAUUAACACAAUUAUAAAUUAAUUUCCAAUUAAAGCACAGUUGAUGCUGUUUCUUCUCAGAGGCCAUGUCCAAAACAGAGAAGAGGCAGAUAAAAAUUCAUGAAUAGGAUUAAUCUGUAAUCAAAGUUGGCAAACAGUGAUAAGUUAGCUAUUACAUAUCCUAAAUACAGGAGAACUGGACUAUCUAUGCUCGCUCCCUCCCCGUAACGCUCAACUAUUUAGAGCACUGGAAAGGCAAGGGGGUCAUCUAUAACAUAAACACUGUUUUAGGACAUAUUAGUUUCUUCCACUGGCCAAUCACAUUGUACAAGAAUCUUAUUCAACUGUAUACCCCAAGAAUACCACAUAGAGUACUGUUGAAAAGUCAACGGCACUUUUGUAGCAUUGUCAGGGCCCACAGUUUCACAGUGAAACCAUUAUGAAACACACCUACACCACCUGAGCUCUUCAGCAGAGAUCUGUUUAACAUCUCCUGCCUGCUGGAAAGCUCCACAUACAAAAUUGUAUCAGCUAAAAGUUGAAAUGUAAAGUCUGUAUGCUGCUACUCCUCUACCGAAUGAAGUCUCGGAUCUAAGGAUAUAAUUGCAACCUUACACCAGAAAUGAAAGUCCAACAUGGGCUUUGUAGCAUCAAUAUUCUUCUGGAGAAAAUAUUUGUUCUUAUAUUAUCAGAAUGGUAAUAUACUGAAGUAACGUGUAUAUAUGUUAAGACAGAGCUGUUAAUGACAAGUUACAUCACAAGGACAUAAGGCACACAAUGCAUUCAUAACUGCUGUAGUUGACAAAAUGGUUAUAUAGAAAUGGAGAAUUUAGUGGAUAUUCACGUAAGUGUCACAUUCAACAUAUCUGUUCAGGCCACAGAACAAAGGUAACCUAAGAAAGUAAUUUAUAGUCUCAAUUUGAUAUGUUGCAGAAUUGUACUAUGUUCUUGCAGAUAAUGGUUCAUCAGAACCACACCAUCUUUUCACAUUGAAGUAAAUAUUUUCUAUAAAAACACCUUUCAGGACCCAAGCAAGGUUUUUUUUUCCACAUUCCUGUAGAUCACUGAAGCGCUGUUUUGCAUCAUAUGGGCUGAACAGCAGGAAAGGAGAGAAACUAAUUCAAGAAAAUAUGACUCCAGAAUUCAAGAGUAAAAAUCAAAGUUGCUUUAGCUUCCUUAAAGGAGGCUUUUUUAUAUCAUUAGAACUCCAAAGAAAACUGAUGCUGAAUAUUAGGAAAAUUUUUGAUGGCAAUGGAUUUUUUGGGAGGGUGAGGGAGAGGAGGGCAGGGGGAAGUAGUGAAAGCCCUAUUACCUGGAACUUUUAAAACUAGCAUGGACUAAAAUAGUAGAAAAAAAGCAUUGUAGAGAACAAUCCAGCCUUUGCAGGGACAGGAUGAUUUGACAGAUUACCCUCCCCCCCCCACUUCUACAAUUCUAUAUUUGUGAGGUUAACCAGUUUAAAAAAUCCUUACAUGUUAUUUCCAUAUCAUUAAAAAAAUUAAAGAUUUUUU